This 1452-nucleotide ribosomal RNA is filed under the name Streptomyces sp. Its description in RNAcentral is "bacterial SSU rRNA". It matches the Rfam family "Bacterial small subunit ribosomal RNA". The record is from RNAcentral. Lineage: Bacteria; Bacillati; Actinomycetota; Actinomycetes; Kitasatosporales; Streptomycetaceae.
GCAAGUCGAACGAUGAAGCCCUUCGGGGUGGAUUAGUGGCGAACGGGUGAGUAACACGUGGGCAAUCUGCCCUUCACUCUGGGACAAGCCCUGGAAACGGGGUCUAAUACCGGAUAAUACUUCCUCCCUCCUGGGAGAAGGUUGAAAGCUCCGGCGGUGAAGGAUGAGCCCGCGGCCUAUCAGCUAGUUGGUGGGGUAAUGGCCUACCAAGGCGACGACGGGUAGCCGGCCUGAGAGGGCGACCGGCCACACUGGGACUGAGACACGGCCCANACUCCUACGGGAGGCAGCAGUGGGGAAUAUUGCACAAUGGGCGAAAGCCUGAUGCAGCGACGCCGCGUGAGGGAUGACGGCCUUCGGGUUGUAAACCUCUUUCAGCAGGGAAGAAGCGAAAGUGACGGUACCUGCAGAAGAAGCGCCGGCUAACUACGUGCCAGCAGCCGCGGUAAUACGUAGGGCGCAAGCGUUGUCCGGAAUUAUUGGGCGUAAAGAGCUCGUAGGCGGCUUGUCACGUCGGUUGUGAAAGCCCGGGGCUUAACCCCGGGUCUGCAGUCGAUACGGGCAGGCUAGAGUGUGGUAGGGGAGAUCGGAAUUCCUGGUGUAGCGGUGAAAUGCGCAGAUAUCAGGAGGAACACCGGUGGCGAAGGCGGAUCUCUGGGCCAUUACUGACGCUGAGGAGCGAAAGCGUGGGGAGCGAACAGGAUUAGAUACCCUGGUAGUCCACGCCGUAAACGUUGGGAACUAGGUGUUGGCGACAUUCCACGUCGUCGGUGCCGCAGCUAACGCAUUAAGUUCCCCGCCUGGGGAGUACGGCCGCAAGGCUAAAACUCAAAGGAAUUGACGGGGGCCCGCACAAGCAGCGGAGCAUGUGGCUUAAUUCGACGCAACGCGAAGAACCUUACCAAGGCUUGACAUACACCGGAAAGCAUCAGAGAUGGUGCCCCCCUUGUGGUCGGUGUACAGGUGGUGCAUGGCUGUCGUCAGCUCGUGUCGUGAGAUGUUGGGUUAAGUCCCGCAACGAGCGCAACCCUUGUUCUGUGUUGCCAGCAUGCCCUUCGGGGUGAUGGGGACUCACAGGAGACUGCCGGGGUCAACUCGGAGGAAGGUGGGGACGACNUCAAGUCAUCAUGCCCCUUAUGUCUUGGGCUGCACACGUGCUACAAUGGCCGGUACAAUGAGCUGCGAUGCCGCGAGGCGGAGCGAAUCUCAAAAAGCCGGUCUCAGUUCGGAUUGGGGUCUGCAACUCGACCCCAUGAAGUCGGAGUUGCUAGUAAUCGCAGAUCAGCAUUGCUGCGGUGAAUACGUUCCCGGGCCUUGUACACACCGCCCGUCACGUCACGAAAGUCGGUAACACCCGAAGCCGGUGGCCCAACCCCUUGUGGGAGGGAGCUGUCGAAGGUGGGACUGGCGAUUGGGACGAAGUCGUAACAAGGUANCCGUACCGGAAGGUGC